This 29-nucleotide unclassified non-coding RNA is filed under the name Mus musculus (house mouse). RNAcentral's name for it is "oocyte_clustered_small_RNA767". The record is from RNAcentral. Lineage: Eukaryota; Metazoa; Chordata; Mammalia; Rodentia; Muridae.
UCUAGGUAUAUGCCCAGGAGUGGUAUAUC